This 841-nucleotide long non-coding RNA is filed under the name Apteryx owenii (little spotted kiwi). RNAcentral's name for it is "lncRNA (ENSAOWG00000013335.1)". Lineage: Eukaryota; Metazoa; Chordata; Aves; Apterygiformes; Apterygidae. The record is from RNAcentral.
CGGCGGCGUCGCACCUGCUUCCCCGGGAGCUGCCUGCCGCGGGGGGGGAGGGGGUGUGUGUGACGCGGCCCCGCCGGGAAACGGGACCGGGUGAGGCCGGUGGCGCCGCCGGGGGCUGCGAGGGGCCGGGCGGGACCCCGGGCGCGUCCCGUGGGGAGCCCGCGGCGGUGCCCGACACGGCGGGGGCCACCCGGUGUCUGACACUGCUGGCGCCGGGCGCCCCGGGACUGCCUUUCCCCGCUUUCCGGGUGAAGCGGCGCACCGGUUAGGUGGCCCAUGAGGUAUUUACAGCUGCUUCCAGGCUGCCUGUAGCCGGCACCUUGAGUACCCGUGAAAACCCGAGUAUAACAACAGGCAGUUUGCAAACUGCGGCGGUCCGGUGGGUUAAACAGAGCGACUCCCGAUGAAAGCGCAGUCACGCUGGUAAGAAGUAAAGCAGCGUUAAUAUUGGAGAAGCAAGGUCACGCACCUUUUGUAUCGGAACAGCAAGUGCCUUGUGGUAUUAGGAGCUUGCACCAGAAUUCUUCCCACCUCCUGGUAGCUAGUCCCAGGCCGCAGGAGGACAUUUCUCAGGAUGCGGGUCUGUGUCGCAAAGGCAAUGUUGAUGCAAGGAGUUCUCAUGCCUCCCACAUACCUCAUUUUCUGCUCGUCUCUCAGUCCCACCCCGACACUGCAGCAUGCAGCCUUGCGAGGCGUUUGUAGCCUGGAUCCUUUCAGCAACCUGCCUUCUCGCAGAGCCCUGCUGAUGGCUCCACAGGUUCUCCUACAGCAAUGUAGCAAGCUGCUGCAUGUCCCUUUUAACUGUGGGUACAGAAGAAUUUACAAUGCAAGCAUUUUAUAA